Molecule: small nuclear RNA, 311 nt
Filed under: Myotis brandtii (Brandt's bat)
Lineage: Eukaryota; Metazoa; Chordata; Mammalia; Chiroptera; Vespertilionidae
Description: 7SK RNA
Rfam family: 7SK RNA
About the family: 7SK was discovered as an abundant small nuclear RNA in the mid-70s but a possible function has only recently been suggested. Two independent studies have found that 7SK RNA binds the CDK9/cyclin T complex (known as elongation factor P-TEFb).
Source: Rfam by way of RNAcentral
GGAUGUGAGGGCGAUCUGGCUGCGACAUCUGUCACCCCAUUGAUCGCCAGGGUUGAUUUGGCUGAUCUGGCUGGCUAGGCGGGUGUCCCCCUCCUCCUUCACCGAUCCAUGUGCGUCCCUCCCGAAGCUGCGCGCUCGGUCGAAGAGGACGACCUUCCCCCCUCCCCACCCCCCCAGAGGACCGGUCUUCGGUCAAGGGUAUACGAGUAGCUGCGCUCCCCUGCUAGAACCUCCAAACAAGCUCUCAAGACUCUGGAUCUUAUUUAAACCUUCUGUUUUAUCAGAACACCUCUGGCCCUGUGUUGGUGCGG